CCUACGGGUGGCAGCAGUGAGGAAUAUUGGUCAAUGGCCGUAAGGCUGAACCAGCCAAGCCGCGUGAGGGACGAAGGUGCCAAGCAUUGUAAACCUCUUUUGUCAAGGGAUAAAAUCUGGCACGUGUGCCUGUUUGUAUGUACCUUAAGAAAAAGCAUCGGCUAACUCCGUGCCAGCAGCCGCGGUAAUACGGAGGAUGCGAGCGUUAUCCGGAUUUAUUGGGUUUAAAGGGUGCGUAGGCGGACUGUUAAGUCAGCGGUAAAAGCCCGGGGCUCAACCCCGGCGUGCCGUUGAAACUGGCUGUCUUGAGAUGGCGAGAGGUAUGCGGAAUGCGCAGUGUAGCGGUGAAAUGCUUAGAUAUUGCGCAGAACUCCGAUUGCGAAGGCAGCAUGCCG
This 395-nucleotide ribosomal RNA is filed under the name uncultured bacterium. Its description in RNAcentral is "partial 16S ribosomal RNA". It matches the Rfam family "Bacterial small subunit ribosomal RNA", at positions 338 to 731 of the family's 1533-position model. The record is from RNAcentral.